UACGUAGGGUGCGAGCGUUGUCCGGAAUUAUUGGGCGUAAAGAGCUCGUAGGCGGCUCGUUGCGUCGGCUGUGAAAACCCACAGCUUAACUGUGGGCCUGCAGCCGAUACGGGCGAGCUAGAGUUCGGUAGGGGAGACUGGAAUUCCUGGUGUAGCGGUGAAAUGCGCAGAUAUCAGGAGGAACACCGGUGGCGAAGGCGGGUCUCUGGGCCGAUACUGACGCUGAGGAGCGAAAGCGUGGGGAGCGAACAGG
This 253-nucleotide ribosomal RNA is filed under the name uncultured bacterium. RNAcentral's name for it is "partial 16S ribosomal RNA". It matches the Rfam family "Bacterial small subunit ribosomal RNA", at positions 524 to 776 of the family's 1533-position model. The record is from RNAcentral.